This 484-nucleotide ribosomal RNA is filed under the name uncultured bacterium. RNAcentral describes it as "partial 16S ribosomal RNA". It matches the Rfam family "Bacterial small subunit ribosomal RNA", at positions 30 to 507 of the family's 1533-position model. The record is from RNAcentral.
AUUGAACGCUGGCGGCAGGCCUAACACAUGCAAGUCGAGCGGAUGAAGGGAGCUUGCUCCUGGAUUCAGCGGCGGACGGGUGAGUAAUGCCUAGGAAUCUGCCUGGUAGUGGGUGAUAACGUCCGAAAACGGGCGCUAAUACCGCAUACGUCCUUAGGGAGAAAGGGGGGGAUCUUCGGACCUCACGCUAUCAGAUGAGCCUAGGUCGGAUUAGCUAGUUGGUGGGGUAAAGGCCUACCAAGGCGACGAUCCGUAACUGGUCUGAGAGGAUGAUCAGUCACACUGGAACUGAGACACGGUCCAGACUCCUACGGGAGGCAGCAGUGGGGAAUAUUGGACAAUGGGCGAAAGCCUGAUCCAGCCAUGCCGCGUGUGUGAAGAAGGUCUUCGGAUUGUAAAGCCCUUUAAGUUGGGAGGAAGGGCAGUAAGUUAAUACCUUGCUGUUUUGACGUUACCAAAAGAAUAAGCACCGGCUAACUUCGUG